This 330-nucleotide ribosomal RNA is filed under the name uncultured bacterium. RNAcentral describes it as "bacterial SSU rRNA". It matches the Rfam family "Bacterial small subunit ribosomal RNA", at positions 568 to 898 of the family's 1533-position model. The record is from RNAcentral.
UGUGUAGGCGGUUCUUUAAGUUUGGUGUGAAAUCUCCCGGCUCAACCGGGAGGGUGCGCCGAAUACUGAGGGACUAGAGUACGGGAGAGGAAAGUGGAAUUCCUGGUGUAGCGGUGAAAUGCGUAGAUAUCAGGAGGAACACCGGUGGUGUAGGCGGCUUUCUGGACCGUAACUGACGCUGAGACACGAAAGCGUGGGUAGCAAACAGGAUUAGAUACCCUGGUAGUCCACGCCCUAAACGAUGCAUAUUUGGUGUGGGCAGUUCAUUCUGUCCGUGCCGGAGCUAACGCGUUAAAUAUGCCGCCUGGGGAGUACAGUCGCAAGGCUGAA